This 405-nucleotide unclassified non-coding RNA is filed under the name Hevea brasiliensis (rubber tree). The record is from RNAcentral. Lineage: Eukaryota; Viridiplantae; Streptophyta; Magnoliopsida; Malpighiales; Euphorbiaceae.
ACUAGAAAUAUCAUAAGAGAAGAAAGCUGCCCUUCUUUUAACCUAGGUCACCAGGUAAUAGCUGGGAUUUCGGAUUAGAAAGCUAUGUCUCGAGAACGCCUUCCUUCUAACUAAGGCAAUUGGUCUCUCACGUUGGAUAUAGAUAGGCCGACGUUGCCAAUGCAAGUUAAGCGCGUAAACGCACAAUCAACGGAAGGCUUCCUUGAAACCACCUUUCCUUCGUUCACUCCUGACCUGACAGAAGCUAUGAAACCAUCCAUAGGGCAGGGGUGACUAAGCUCGCGAAUCGAAUGGUUAAAAAGCCGACUCUGUAUACUGACUGCAUUGCUCCCUCUUGACAGCUUGCUUCUGUUAGAGCUAUUGUGUCACUGUCUUUCCCUACUUUCUCUGUCGAUACCGAACACG